UACGGGGGGGAGCAAGCGUUGUUCGGAUUUACUGGGCGUAAAGGGCGCGUAGGCGGCGUGACAAGUCACUUGUGAAAUCUCCGGGCUUAACUCGGAACGGUCAAGUGAUACUGUCGUGCUAGAGUACAGAAGGGGCAACUAGAAUUCUCGGUGUAGCGGUGAAAUGCGUAGAUAUCGAGAGGAACACCUGCGGCGAAGGCGGGUUGCUGGGCUGAUACUGACGCUGAGGCGCGAAAGCUAGGGGAGCGAACGGG
This 254-nucleotide ribosomal RNA is filed under the name uncultured bacterium. Its description in RNAcentral is "partial 16S ribosomal RNA". It matches the Rfam family "Bacterial small subunit ribosomal RNA", at positions 524 to 776 of the family's 1533-position model. The record is from RNAcentral.